GAGCUGCUUUGGUAUGCAUAUAUAUAUAUAUAUAUAUAUAUAUAUAUAUAUAUGCAGAUACGAGGCAGCUU
Molecule: non-coding RNA, 71 nt
Organism: Podarcis lilfordi (Lilford's wall lizard)
Lineage: Eukaryota; Metazoa; Chordata; Lepidosauria; Squamata; Lacertidae
Source: the annotation of a GenBank genome assembly